AUUUUUUAGGAUUUACCUAAGGUUUGAUUAUGAUUUAUUUAAAAUUUUGUUAAAAUAUUUUUAUAAAAACAUUAAGGAUUUUUUAUGAUUAUUUUCGAGGAUUUUUUUUUAAAAUCUCUUUAGAAUUUAAAUAAGGUUUAAUGAGGAUUGUUAUGGUUCAUUUGGGAUUUGUUUAGAAAUUUAUUAAAAUUGUUAAAUUCUUUUUUGUUACAAAAUACAAGUACACCUUCUACAACCAAGUGUGUGGUGCAUUUUCAAGCAAGACAAUACAUAAUACAAUAUAUUUAAUGAACCCAACAUGAGAAGCUUCA
This 311-nucleotide long non-coding RNA is filed under the name Physcomitrium patens. RNAcentral's name for it is "long non-coding RNA (PPAT_LNC006812)". Lineage: Eukaryota; Viridiplantae; Streptophyta; Bryopsida; Funariales; Funariaceae. The record is from RNAcentral.